This 523-nucleotide ribosomal RNA is filed under the name uncultured bacterium. RNAcentral describes it as "bacterial SSU rRNA". It matches the Rfam family "Bacterial small subunit ribosomal RNA", at positions 777 to 1304 of the family's 1533-position model. The record is from RNAcentral.
AAUAGAUACCCAGGUAGUCCACGCCCUAAACGAUGUCAACUAGUUGUUGGGGAUUCAUUUCUUCAGUAACGUAGCUAACGCGUGAAGUUGACCGCCUGGGGAGUACGGUCGCAAGAUUAAAACUCAAAGGAAUUGACGGGGACCCGCACAAGCGGUGGAUGAUGUGGAUUAAUUCGAUGCAACGCGAAAAACCUUACCUACCCUUGACAUGCCACUAACGAAGCAGAGAUGCAUCAGGUGCCCGAAAGGGAAAGUGGACACAGGUGCUGCAUGGCUGUCGUCAGCUCGUGUCGUGAGAUGUUGGGUUAAGUCCCGCAACGAGCGCAACCCUUAUCUUUAGUUGCUACGCAAGGGCACUCUAGAGAGACUGCCGGUGACAAACCGGAGGAAGGUGAGGAUGACGUCAAGUCCUCAUGGCCCUUAUGGGUAGGGCUUCACACGUCAUACAAUGGUGCGUACAGAGGGUUGCCAACCCGCGAGGGGGAGCUAAUCCCAGAAAACGCAUCGUAGUCCGGAUCGUAGU